UUUUUAAUUGGAAUCUUGUAUGAAUGGUUGGACAAAAGGAAUUCUGUCUUUAUAUUGGAAAUUGAAUUUAACUUUUAAGUGAAAAGGCUUAAAUAUUUUAAAGGGACGAUAAGACCCUAUAAAGCUUUAUAUAGAAAUUAAUAUUUAUUAAAUUUAUGGUUAUAAUAGUUUAAUUUAAUUAUUUAUUAUGUUGGGGAGAUAUUAGUAUAAUUUAUAUUAACUGCUGGAAAAUAUAAGCAAGGAUUGUUGUAUAAGGUAAUAGAUCCUUGUUAAGGAUUGGAAGAUUAAGUUACUUUAGGGAUAACAG
Molecule: ribosomal RNA, 307 nt
Filed under: Liberonautes chaperi
Lineage: Eukaryota; Metazoa; Arthropoda; Malacostraca; Decapoda; Potamonautidae
Description: partial 16S ribosomal RNA
Source: RNAcentral